CACACACACCCGACAACCAUGCCCAAGUGCUAGUUAUGUGACCAAGCUGUAACUCGUCCAAUACCGUGGACACGGCUACCCGGAUAGGUUUUAACUCUGCAGAGGUUGUACACUUUUCCCACAAGUAGGGUACCGCAGCACGAUCACCUUAGUGCCGGUGCGGAUCCUAACAAAGCCAUUACCCACCUUAGCUGAGACUGGCUAGCC
Molecule: long non-coding RNA, 207 nt
Filed under: Setaria italica (foxtail millet)
Lineage: Eukaryota; Viridiplantae; Streptophyta; Magnoliopsida; Poales; Poaceae
Description: long non-coding RNA (SITA_LNC001308)
Source: RNAcentral